AGCAGCCGCGGUAAUUCCAGCUCCAAUAGCGUAUAUUAAAGUUGUUGCAGUUAAAAAGCUCGUAGUUGAAUUUCGGGAUCAAGUUGUUGGUCGUGCCUUGGUACGUACUGGUGACAUUGAUUUCUCCCUUCUGAAGAACUGUAAUGUCAUUAAUUUGGUGUUGCAGGGACACAGGACUGUUACUUUGAAAAAAUUAGAGUGUUUAAAGCAGGCUAACGCUUGAAUACAUUAGCAUGGAAUAAUGAAAUAGGACGUUUGAUCCUAUUUUGUUGGUUUCUAGGAUUGACGUAAUGAUUAAUAGGGAUAGUUGGGGGCAUUAGUAUUCAAUUGUCAGAGGUGAAAUUCUUGGAUUUAUUGAAGACUAACUACUGCGAAAGCAUUUGCCAAGGAUGUUUUCAUUAAUCAAGAACGAAAGUUAGGGGAUCGAAGACGAUCAGAUACCGUCGUAGUCUUAACCAUAACUAUGCCGACUAGGGAUCGGAUGAUGUUAAUUUUUAAUGACUCAUUCGGCGCCUUAAC
RNAcentral lists this ribosomal RNA (519 nucleotides) under uncultured Glomus. RNAcentral's name for it is "SSU rRNA". It matches the Rfam family "Eukaryotic small subunit ribosomal RNA", at positions 569 to 1092 of the family's 1831-position model. The record is from RNAcentral. Lineage: Eukaryota; Fungi; Glomeromycota; Glomeromycetes; Glomerales; Glomeraceae.